UUCAGAACUGCAGAUAGUACGGCUUUCACAGGAGCAAGGAAUGCCUGGGCACAAGUGCCUGAGUUCCGAGGGACUUUGGGAAAACACUUUGCUCUCUCCCUCCUUCCUGGAAUCAGGGAUUCUGCACCUGCAUCAGAGACCGUCCAGCCAGAGCCUCUGCUGUGCCUCCAGGGACCAGGAACGAGCACAAAUAAGCGUUUUGAAAUUGGAUCUUGGACAAAUGAUCCCUUGGUCAAAUCCAUGAAGGAAACUGAAGGCACAUGGAGCUACAUCUUCAAAUGACAGUCUUGAAAAAAAAUCAAAGCAAGAUGCUCUGUCUCCAAAGACAUCUAUUCCAAAGAGUACAGCUCUACCCCCAAAUGGGGACAGGAUGCAGGAAGAAGUCUAAAUUUCAGAGCAAAGAAACUGACAUGUUUUGCCAAUAGCCAAACUUUGAAACACUCAAAAAUAUGAAGACUUGAUGUUUAAAUAUACAAUAAUAUUGAAAUUUGAAAUACUAUUCUAUGCAGAGCUGACUGACAUACUUUUUGACUUAAUUUAUGACAGACACUCAAGGCUAAGAAACUAUUUGAAAGGAGAUCAGGAAAUCUAUCCUGACCACACUCUGCUCUCCACGGUCUGUGUUAACAUUGGCGAUUAAGACAAAGAUGCUUUAGGUUAAUCCAGGGUUCCUAAUUGAGGAGAAUUGGAGAUUAAUUAUAACUUCUAAAUCGACAUCGAGCAUCUUGAGAAGCACCUGUCUGGAAGGGCUCUCCCUGCUGUCAGUCGGCACCACCUACCAGGGUACCUACGAGAUCCUAUUCCAGUUGUGGAAAAUUUAAACUGCUCGGAGGUGAGGUAUUAUCUUCAACAAACUAUAACUGUGAGACAUUAUCCAGUUUAGUCCAAGGAAAGAAGAAAGAGUGAAUUACUGAAUUUCUGACUACUGUUUUAUGUGUUUCGGACAUUUAAUAGAAUUUCUUCUUGUUGUAAGUGAAUCGUUUAUAUUUAAGAAUUUUAGGGUGUUGUGUUUCGUUUUGUUUUUUGGCCCUACCUGUGGCAGGCAGACGUUCCUGGGCCAGAAAUCAAACCCACGCCACUGCAGUGACCCAAGCCACAGCAGGGACAACGCCAAGUCCUCAGAUCAUUAACCUGCUGAGCCAUCAGGGGUAUUUAAGAAUUUUAAGUUCAUUAUAUUCUGCUAAGGACAUCUAAGAAACCAUUUGGGGAAACGGAGAAUGAGCUUAUGCAUUGCUAUUCAUUCCAAGGGCCCUACAGCUUGGCUCAUUAGUAGGCCAGUACCGGUUUUAUGUUAAUGCGAAAUACAUGAUUUAGACUCUUUUUUUCAUAGCAUCCCUAUUAUACAAAUGUUAGCAGACAUGCGGAGAGAUGAACAGGCGUGAUCGAGAAUAGUUGCACAUAUUGACCGGACACUAAUAUCUCGAUGAACAGGCAAGAGAACAGGACUGGUGUCCUUCCAGGUAUCCUCGAGAACGCAAACCGAGUCCCCAGUCCCAGGGCAAUAGUCUUUCCAGCAACAGCACAGAAAUAGCUACUGAUAAAGCCUGUUCUCCUAAGGCGUUUUAUUCUGUAGGGAAAAUGGGCUCAUUUCAAAAUAAUUAAACACGGCAAAAUGCAGAGUCAUCCCUGUUUAUAUUCUAAGACUAUUUGUCACCUCAAUAUGUACUUUCCAGAGAUGACUAACCCUUUUUCCCCUAAAA
Phacochoerus africanus (Common warthog) is the source of this 1700-nucleotide long non-coding RNA. RefSeq lists it as uncharacterized. Lineage: Eukaryota; Metazoa; Chordata; Mammalia; Artiodactyla; Suidae. The record is from RefSeq and is a predicted model, not a curated record. The transcript has 4 exons.